UACGGAGGAUGCAAGCGUUAUCCGGAAUGAUUGGGCGUAAAGCGUCCGCAGGUGGCUGUGUAAGUCUGCUGUUAAAGAGUGAGGCUCAACCUCAUAAAGGCAGUGGAAACUACAUGGCUAGAGUGCGUUCGGGGCAGAGGGAAUUCCUGGUGUAGCGGUGAAAUGCGUAGAGAUCAGGAAGAACACCGGUGGCGAAAGCACUCUGCUAGGCCGCAACUGACACUGAGGGACGAAAGCUAGGGGAGCGAAUGGG
This 253-nucleotide ribosomal RNA is filed under the name uncultured bacterium. RNAcentral describes it as "partial 16S ribosomal RNA". It matches the Rfam family "Bacterial small subunit ribosomal RNA", at positions 524 to 776 of the family's 1533-position model. The record is from RNAcentral.